This is a long non-coding RNA of Corythoichthys intestinalis (scribbled pipefish), 898 nucleotides long. RefSeq lists it as uncharacterized. The record is from RefSeq and is a predicted model, not a curated record. NCBI's taxonomy places the organism in Eukaryota, Metazoa, Chordata, Actinopteri, Syngnathiformes, Syngnathidae. The transcript has 3 exons.
UUGGGAAAUAUUUCCAAAUAGAAAUCCCGUCGGAUAAAAUCAAUGGCUGCAUGCAAGAUUUGCGGCCUGAAAGUUUGGAGAUGUGGAGUUAAAUCAGCCAGUUUCAAUACCUCGAACUUGAUAAAACAUUUGAAGACGAAACGUGAACGAACACAACGAGUUUGAGCCUGCAAGAGCAGGACUGCUAUCCAGAGGAAGAAGGCCGCUGAACCGGUGCAACAAUCUCUGGUCUUUGAGGGCUAAGCAACAUUACUAUGUGUGACCCUCUACUUCCAAUUUUCUAAAAUGGCGACAAUCAACAAAAAAAAGUUGACUGUGACGGCCGACGCUUCAAGGGACGAGCGCUGACACACGGGACGGGACCGGACGGGAGGAAACAUUGGUUUGGGCAUCAAAUAUUGAUCUGGCGACUGGAUCGACUGAAGCCUUUCCAAAUAACGGCUUUUAUGCAACUCAUCCAGUGAGUUUACAGCGUCUGAAAGCACCGGGGCUCCAUAAUUUGCAAGUGAAUCCACCUUUAGAAACUAUGAUCAAUGACAAUACGGACACACAAUGACGGACAAUAUGGCGGCACAAUACAGCGAUCACGUGAUUGUGUGACAUUGGUGAUUGGGGUCUAUAGGAUACCAGCAUACUUAGACUCACAAGGGAUUCACACAAAUACCAGGUUCUACACUUCACAUGGCUGAUUUGUGUACACUCCACCUCUCCCAAGCACUUAUCUUUCUGACUCUCCCCCCAUCCCUUCUUUUUUUCUUGGUCAUCAGGCCCCCCACAUGGUGUCAACUGGAAAUACAACUGGCUAAUAAACUUGCAGAUGAUACAAAUAUUUUUUACAGUAGUGAUAGUUACACUGAACUUGUAACUACUGUGAAUAAGAAACUAAACUUAAUUAAAG